Long non-coding RNA from Nicotiana attenuata, 2535 nucleotides. RefSeq lists it as uncharacterized. The record is from RefSeq and is a predicted model, not a curated record. NCBI's taxonomy places the organism in Eukaryota, Viridiplantae, Streptophyta, Magnoliopsida, Solanales, Solanaceae. The transcript has 4 exons.
UCACCCAAAAUCGCCUCUCUGAUCUUUUUCUUUUUCAUCUUUGCCGAGUUUAAUGGCCGAGUUUCAUCAAAUGCGUCUUCAUUAGACCACCAUAAUAAUCAAACCCUAGAGUUCCCAAAGCCCAAAACCCCAAGGACAGUUCCGUCGGUCUUUCCGGCACUUCGCCAGCACUUCUUCAAGGACAGUUGCUGCUCCGGCACUUCUCCCGCACUCCUUCCCCAAAUUCCCAAAUUAAUUUAUUGUUAAGAGCGUUUUCUUUUGGAUUUUCAGGCGGUAACCUUAGAUCUGUUGCUUCAUCUGGUGCAGUUUGCAGUCAAUUUUAGAGAAAACAAAAAGCUUGAGGAAUCAGAGGCAAAAAGGAAAUGGUGUCGUACGUGAGCUUGUUGCUGUAUGGAGUGGGAGGUAUAGUGGUGGCGGGGAUGGCAAUAUGGUUGCAUUUCAGGAAAAACUUGUCUACGUGCCGGUGCUGCCUGGACUCACAAAGUCAUAUCCAAUUACUCUGGCUCGGCUUCGGCUCUUUUACAAAGAUGUGUGGCUCAGAUCUUCUGAUGGAGUUCGCCUUCAUGCUUGGUUCAUUAAGCUUUUCCCUACUGUAGAGGCAACAAAGGAGCAGGUAGGACACCAUUGAACUGGGAAACAAGAGCUGGCAUUGCUCUUGGAACUGCACACGGGAUUGCCUAUCUUCACGCACAAGGCCCCUCCGUUUCACAUGGCAACAUUAAGGCGUCCAACAUCCUCCUCACCAAAUCAUACGAGGCCCGUGUUUCAGAUUUUGGUCUUGCUCAACUUGUCGGUCCAUCAUCAAAUCCUAACCACGUUGCAGGUUACAGGGCACCAUAGGUAACAGACCCUCGUAAAGUCUCCCGAAAAGCAGAUGUUGUUAUACACACACAUAUCUACACUUUGUUCAUUAUGUAGACUAGAAACUAAUCAUGCUCUACCCAUCUUCAAUAGUAUACCCAGUUGAAACCUGAGUUUGCAUAAUCUUAAUCCAUUAUCACAUACUCUUGAUCUUCAUCCACCAUUAGUUCAUUACAUCCAGUUCAUGCAUAGGAGAAAGGAUUGGUAUCUAAAAGAAUGCAGUAGUAGUCUACUCUUCUACUGAAUCUUUAUUGGUAUUAAAAAUCACAUUACCUCCACAUGCCAAGUAACGUUAUUUUGGGGUGUGGCACAAAAUCUCCCUUUCCUUAAUUUAGCUUCAUGGUUUGAUGUGAAUAACACAUCUAGAUUCUGGUAAUUCUAUUGGUAUUCUUCAGUUGAUCCAGUUUCUUAGACGAUCCUGAAUUGAUAUGCCUUGAGUAUGGUUUUCUUGUUUGAUAUCCAGUUCCUUGCUUAUGGAUUUCUUGUUUGAUGUGUGAGGUAGCGUCUGAUUAAUUUUUGAGCUGGUUUUGCUGCCGAUGAUGUAUAGUUGAUUAAGCAUGUAUCUUGGUCAAGCUGUGCAUAAGAAUAGAGUCCUCGUCAUUUUGUUUUGUGGAAUCUCUAUGCACCACCUUUUUGUUACUUUUUUUAAUGUCUCUCUUUCUGGGUUUUAUUCCAGAGUUUUUCGAUUCCAAGGUGUUUAAACUGCUGAAGGUGUUUAUAACUUGUACAUGUUUUUGACAUUCUUGAUGAGGCGAAACAAUGGAUUUUUGAAUCAGUUUGUAGUGCUUGGAAAAAAUAUAAGAGUCAAUUGAAGACAACUCACUUCACAUCCUAUGAGAAUGAUGAGCUUCGAAUGGAGAAUAGGUCAGUAGAUAUUCCGGAAUCUCACUUUAAGGAUCUUCUUAAAUAUUAGAACUCCGAUCCUCACAAGGUAAUUACAUCCAGAAUCUCUUGUCUUGUUUUAACAUAAUUGUUUUUUGGUGCACGAGUCAAAAGAAUCAGAAGUAAAAUCCAUUUUGCUGCCCAUAUGUGCCAAACUAGGUUGUAUAAAGAAUAUACCUAUCUUGGUAUAAUGUAAAAUACCAAACUCCAAAUAUACCAAACUAGGUUGUAUAAAGAAUUACAGACUCAAUGUAAUAAUGUAAUCUAGCAUAUACCUAUCUUGGUAAUUGCUUCAAUUGCUAGCUGUUUUGGUUGAAGCAACUAGGUUGGUUAUGGUUCAAAUCUUGUUGAAUUCAAAGGGAAUUAGUUUUAACCCUAUAGCUACUUUAUACUAUGUUGCACCUAGUUGUCAAAAGAAUCAGAAGUAAAAGAAUCAUAAGCCUUACAAUUAAAAUGGUUUAGAUGUUGAUAGAUGCAUUCAAGAAUACUUAUAAUUCGAGGACUAGAAGGUGAGUUUUUAAUGGGUCACAUGCUGGUUCCAGGCCAAUUUGGUGGAAUAUUCACAUGCUUGAAGGGUAAUAACUUUAUUUAUCCUCUUUUGUAGGUGGAGUAGAUCAAGAAAUGGAUGAUGAAGACGAUGAAGAACUAGACCUUACUUGAAAUGAAUUUUGAAUUGUUAUAGAUGAAUGUUCUAGGAAUCUUUUGUUACCAACAUUUUUGAACUUAUUUACUCUCUUGAAAUAUACUAAACUUAUGCACUCAUGGGGUAGAACAUUUGCUUUAUGGAUAUUA